RNAcentral lists this small RNA (432 nucleotides) under Demospongiae sp. QM G333539. RNAcentral describes it as "partial large subunit ribosomal RNA". Lineage: Eukaryota; Metazoa; Porifera; Demospongiae. The record is from RNAcentral.
CAAACAGUACGUGAAACCGUCGGGAGGGAAACGAACGAGGUUGGUGCAGCGACCGCGCAGGUUCAGUCGCCGCCGAAGGCGCCGACGGGCGAGCGGAGACCGCUCCCCGCCGUGGGCCGGAGGCGGAGCCGUACUCCUCGCGGUCGCGGACCAGCGGCGGUUCCGCGGGGGCCAGAAGGCGGCCCGGAAGGUGAGUCGACCCGGGUCCGCCCGGAGCCGACAGCAUAUAACCGGACCGACCGGCGCCCCGGUGGGACCGAGGAACAGUCGGGCAGCCUUUGCCCGUGACGGUGCACGCCGAAAGGCGGGACCUCCUCCCGGCGGGGAUCCGCGCGGCGUGGACUGCGUGCAGUGCUAGCCGUUGCGGUGAUCCGACGGGGGAGAGCGUCACCCGUGCGCCAGUGCCGCUGGUACUCGGACGGCCUCGUCCGA